Molecule: long non-coding RNA, 9996 nt
Filed under: Gossypium barbadense (sea-island cotton)
Lineage: Eukaryota; Viridiplantae; Streptophyta; Magnoliopsida; Malvales; Malvaceae
Description: long non-coding RNA (GBAR_LNC013592)
Source: RNAcentral
CCCCAACCCCGUUAAAAUUUUAGACAGAAAUCCCCUUCCCUUCCUUCCUCCCUUUUUUUCCCCAAAUUGAAAACCCACCUACAGUCCCCACCGGUCCACCAUCCCACCUCCGGUCUCCGGUCCUCCAGCACUCCACCUCCACUCCACGACACUAGGUGGCUGUUCUCUUCACUUCGAUUCUUCUGCAACUUCCGAGUCCGACCCAAACCCUUCAAAUCAACAAGUUCAAGCCUUCAAGGUAACUUCUUUCUAUUCUUCUUCACUUUAGUUUUCAUUUUAAUCAUGUAUUUAAGACUUAAGAGAAGGCUGCUCUUUAUUGCUGAGUUUAGUGACGGUGACAUGCUUCGAUUUUUAAUAUACUGUUGCCAUGUUCUCUUUGAACUUUGAAGUUUGAAGUCAUUUGCUAGUGCUUUUCAUUUUCCAGAUUUUGAAGUCAUUUUAAUAUAUUUGAAGUCAUUUUGAAGGUAAUUCAUUUUCCAGACUUUGGCAUGUCAUUUUCCAGAUUUUGGCAUGUCAUUUUUCAGAUUUUAUUUUAUUUCCAGAAAAACUGUUUACAUGUAUGAGUAGUAAAUACUUCUUGUCAUCCAUUUUCUUGGUCAACAAACGGGAAUUUGAUCUUAAAGAUCCUUAAGAUUAAAAUACGAAUGAAGUUAGGUUUAUAUGGUCAUGUUUUUGCAAAGUCAAAAUUUCAUCUGCUUUUCUUUUUGGUUUGAUUUGUUUUUUGGUUGGUGAGAAAGUGAAUGAAAAGUUGCUGAGAAUGAAUUGAAUUGAAUUUGUUGGUUGAUGUAAAAUGAAUUGAAAAUGAACUGUGGCGGGGUUUUGUUUUUCGUAGAGUUUCGGUUAGUAAAAAUACAUUUUGUAAGCUCAUAAGAGAAAUAGGACUUUGAUAAUGAAAUGAUUUUGAUACGUUUAAGAACAUGUUCACUACUGGUCCAAAAAAAACAAACCACCAACCCUCUGUAGCAGUCAUGACAAUCCCAGUACCAGCUCUUUGAAAAAUCGAGUCUUUUAUUGUAGCAAAGGUCGUUUAACUGGCAUUCACAUGGGUCUAAUUAUUUGACAGUUUUUUGCAGCUUCAAACUUAAAAGCAAUAGUAGUGCUUAUUGCCCAAUGAUAAUAUGCUGCUAGUCCUUAUUACUUGUAUAAUCAUUUUUAUUUUUAUUCUCUUUUUUUAAGAAUUGAUUGUUAGUUUGUUACCUAAAUGUCACAAAUGUGUAAUUAUAGACAAUUAAAUAACAUUUAAAUUCAAUUAGUUGGUAAUUUUUUAAACUUACAGUGUAUUAGUUUAGUGUAAUGCUACAUCAACUCUAACAUAAAGUUUAUAGAUAACAUGAUGAAAGCUAUUAUUUUAAAUUUUUUUCAUUAUAUACAAAAAAAAUAUAAUUUGAUAUUUGAUAUAACUUUAAUAAAAAUUAGUUUUAACUUCUAAGUAAAAAAAAAAACGGGCCGGGCCGGGCCGAGCCCGGGCUUCAUAUUUUUUCCACGGGCCGGGCCUGGGCUACAUCUCAGGCCCAUAUUUUGGGCCGGGCCAGGCCCGGGCCUAGUAAGAGGGCCGAAAUUUUUUUGGGCCCGGCCCGAACCCGGCCCGGCCCGGCCCAUGAGAACCUCUAUUUCAAAUAUAUAUAUAUAUUUAAUCCUAGACUUAAAUUAAUUUUAUAAAAACCUAAAAUAAAACACAAUUUCAUUACCUUUUUUAAUAAUUUUAUAAUUUUAUUAAUUUUUUAUAAUUUUCACAAUUUAUUGCAUUUAAAAAAAUAAAUAUAUUUUAUUAAAUUUUAUUUCAUUAAUCUUAUUAAUAUUGACAAGGACUAAAAUAAAAAGUAUUGUCAAGUUUAAAAACUAAGGGUAUGUUUAAUUGGGUAGAUACGUGGAGGAAUAGAAGGAGUGAGUGGAAAAGUGGAAAGAAAAUAAAUUUUGAGUGUGCUUAGUUAGGAAGAAAAGUGAGAGGAAAGAAAUUAGGAGGGGUGAUAAUUUUCCCUCCUAAAUGUAUAAAAACUAAUCCUUCCAAAUUGAGAUGAUGAGAUUAUAAAAAAUUGGAGAGAAGUAUAUGUUAGUUCAAAUUAUGCAUUUUUCAAAAAUUUUAUUUUUCUUUCAUUUUUCAACUUUACCAAGCAAUGGAGGGAAAUUAAUUCUUAAAGAAUUUUAGCCAAUAAUAGACUGCCACAUCGUAUAAACUUUUAAAAAUAUUUUUUAAAUUUUCUUUUAAAUGAUAUCUAUUUACUCUCUUUUUUUCGUUUUUCUAUCUUCUUCUUUUAUAAAUAUAAUGUCUGGUAAUGCCAAUAAUGCUAAAAAUUUGUCCUCUCAAGGUCAAGACAUUGGCAAUUAAUUUUGUUUUUGAACUUCACCACCUGCUUACUCGACCCGAUGGGAUUAAAAAAAAUUAUUUCAUCGAUCAAAAUCAUUAUUUUUAAAAUUGAAUCAACUAGUUGGAUUGAUUGGAUCAAGAAUUAGAUGGAGUUUUAGUCCAAAUAGAAAUGGCAAAACCCAAACCACUCCGAAUGGAGCGACUUUGUUCUUUUGAGAAGUAGAUGUGGGUACAACCGCGUGGAUUUAUUUUCUUUUGGAUAGUGGAUAUGGGAACAAUUAUAGUAAUUGCUUACCCCACCCUUAUCUGCUCUACUAUAUAAAAUUAUCAUUUUAUCAUUGUACAUAUAAACUAUUAAAAAGGUAAAAAUAUAAUAACAUAAUAUAAAAAAUCUAUAUAUUUCAUGUUUAAAUAAUAUUUUGAAGAAUUAUGUUUAAACAUUUACUUAACUUUAAAAAGAUUGAAAAUAUUAUAAAUAAGUAGAAAUUUUAAAUUGAAACGGAGCAGGGUGAGGAGAGAAUAUCCAACAUCUUAUGAAAGUAGUAAUAAUUUUCAAGAUUAUACACUCAUGGUAGAGCUAAGCAAAUGGUGGAGCAAACCAUGCUAACUAUGGAGCGGUUAUGGAUUUAACAUUAUUUACUCCCACCUCACUUUAUUGUCAUCCUUAAAUUCAAAGAAACUGAUUGAAGCAAGUUAAAAACUAGUUGAGUUGAUUUUUUCUAUUUAAAAAAAAAUAUUUUUAUGAUUUUUAAUAAUUUAUUUAAUCAAACCAAAUAAAACAACUAAAUCAAAAAUUAAUUGCCUAACUUAUUUAACCAUGGGUUUGAUUUAAGUACCAACUUAAUAAAACAAAAGUUUAAGUACUACCUGUAUUUAAAAAAACAUUAUAAUUUAAGUACUAAUUGUUGAGUUAAACUUAAGAAGAGGAAUAUACAAUGAUGUAACAGAAUCAUUUCAUAUAAUCCUUUCAAGUCAUUCUAGCAUGUGAUGCCAAGUUGAAAAAUAUUAUCGAAAACAUAAUAAAAAAAAAGCUUAAUUAAUUCAGAACAAACAACCCCACGCCCCCACCCCGAAGAAAAAAAGAAGUUAAUUUGUUUGUUUAUUUUAGUAUAUGAAACUAUCAAGACUUGAAUCAUGUUAAACAAUAAGUUGGGCAUUUUACUACGAGACACGUUGUUGACAGAAUAUGUUUGAUCAUAUGUAAAAGAAUUUAGAACGCUUAAAUGGAUGGAUGUGGGAAAGAAAAAAAUAAAAGAAAAUGAAGAUGGAUAUAUAUAUAUAUCAUUUCCAGGCAACAGCAUCAAUCUCAUCUCUGGCUGCUUUGUAAAGCUCCAGCCUUUUAGCAAUCUGUGUUCUCUUUUCCAUGAGUUGAGGGUCCUCAUCCAACAUUGCACUCAGUCGUUCCUUCUGCAUAACCCACCCACCACAAUUAUUUAUAUAUAUAUAUAUUUAUAUUUUCCUUUCUGAUAGAUACACUUCAACAAGCACGGCGGCAGGGGAAGCUGUGAGUGAAGUGAUUAUUAACAACACCCAAUAGAUAACCUCUAAAAUCGGUGUACUCUCAUAUUCAUGUUCUUUGAAUCUUGCAAUCAAAUUUCUGUUAAUGGAAGAGAAUGAUGUGCAACAGUAAAAAGUAAUACUAUAAACAGUAAUUUACCUCUUUCCUCCCUACUUGGGCAUAAAAGUGGGUCAACAGUGACCUCUUGGCCUCUCUCACUUGGCAAUAAACCACAGCUUUAGGAAUAGUAUUCUUCAAUGUAUCAGAAACCAUGGCUAUAUAAGCGCUAACAUUUGAUCCUGAACCAACAACACAUAUUUGUCACUACUUGUUAAUCUCUCUCUCUAUAUAUAUAGAUUCCCUUUCAUGAUUUCAAGAGUAACUUAAGAGAAUGCAGAUUAUGUUGAAACAGUACUCUUAAUUAAGGUGCUAAGAGGAUCUUAGAGCAUCACAUGUAGUAACAUAAUCAACAGAAACUUCACAUACCAAUCCUUGCGAGAGAAGUAUCAUGGAAAUGGUCAUUAUUUGGGCCAGGUGGGUUCCCAUUCUUCUCUGGUUUCUUCUCUGGUGCUGCAUGAAGCUUCCGGAAAAAAUCAACCGUCAAGUAACUAGACUCCAUCUCUACUAGCCGCACCACUGUUUUACGACUUUCUUCACGAAAUCUUUCCAAAGCCUCAUUUGCAGCAGUAGCUAUGUCAUUUUGAAGUGAUGGGAAUCGCUUAAGUUCCUGUAGUUGCAUCGAAUUUCCAUAUUAUCAUCUCAUAAAGAAAAUGUUGUGAAUAUUAGGUCAACCUCUAGGAACCCACAAGAGUAGAACGUAAAAACAAAAUCUGCUCACACACAUACACCUUUUCUUUGGCCCCGUUCAUAUUUUGUAAGAAAUUUUCCAAUUACUUAAAAGUGAAAAAUUAGGGAUGUUACUGAAUUUAUCUUAUGCUAGUGUUAUUGAAUUUCAUGAAUGAAUGUUUCCAGCUAAGUGCUACUUACCUCUGUUUCAGCUAUUGACUUCCUCACAAGUUCUUUCAAAACAAAAUGCACCUGAAGAUCAAAGCACAUAAUAUUCAAGAAUUGGUAAUAAGGGUAAGAUAAAAGUUUCACUUUUCUGCAAAAUUAUAUAGGAAGGAGUAAAUAGAAACUGCAAUUAACAAGAAUCUCUUAAAAGAAACACAUGUUCAAUAACCCUCGUAUGAGAGCUAGACUUGCGAGAACCACACUUAUAAACCUUCCACAAAUAGCCUACUUAAAAUAUUCUUGUAAAUUUUCCUGUUAGUCUACACGACAAACCAGCACCAUAUAAUGUAUAUGCGAUUGCCCAGAAAAGUCUGCCAAAUCAUGUUUGAUCACCCUUUUCAAGGAGCAACACCAUUUCAAAUAGAAAAGAGCAGAUAGCAAAAGCAUAUGAAACUAAAGCCUAAAAUGUUAUCCUCCUUCAUAUAAAGGAUGUUAAGGCAGAAAUCUUCUCCAGUCUGAUAUGUUAUUUUUCACUCUUCUUUUACUUGUCUUCCAGAAACAGCUUUCUUUUCUAAUUUCUAGUAGUAACGAGUCCAAGCUGUGGUUUUACCAUUGCAGUGUCUCUAGGUUAUUACAUAUAUACCCUUUACGUGUCUCUCACACCUUUCAUGUAUCUAGAAACACAUAUAACUGAACUGUAGAGUUCAAUGAACAAAUCAAUCAGUCCCAAAUCUCACCACGUGCCUUUUUCAAAAGAAACAUUUGACUAUUUUAGAACCGAUGUAAUGACAGAAGGACCCAAUAAAUUACACAAAUACAUUAAAUAAUUCUCUCCCUUCUAUCCAGUAACAUACUAUAAUACAUUAGAGAAAAUCCCUUUAAGCUUUCGUACCAUGCAUUGCUCAAAUGCUAGCAUGUCAUUUUAGAACUUGGGGCUAAAAGCAAUAUCCAACAGUGAAGCAGAUCUAAUACAACUUAAGAACAUACCUAAAGAAAUAAUUGUGAUGUGAGGAAAGGAUUGUGAAACUUUUACCCCACACUAUUGCUUGUUAUGCUAAGCCUUUUUUUCUCAGAAGAAUGGAUAUUUUAAAAGGACAGUCCAGUCUUAAGUUCAAUUCUUACUGAACGCCUCUUCAUUUCACAAGGCAGUCAAAUGCUGCUCCUUACUACUAGCAUGAGUUAACAUGAAACCACCUAUGAAAAUGGAUCAACUACUAGGGGUUUAAAAUUUUACCAAAUUAGCAUGCUUAAGAAGUCAAGAAAAUUAAGUUUGGUUUCAGUUUCAGGCCAAGACACCUCUUGAUUUAGCAGCCAACCUCUCUCCAGAACAUGUAGAGGGUUCAAACUCCCUCUUCCUGAUAUUCAUCCUUAAAAGAGGAGAGAAGAAGGAAUGGAGGAUAAAAAUUGAAAAUUUUGAGUACAUUAAACACAUGCCAAUUUGUGUCUGUGUGUGUCUAUUCAAACUAAAGGAAUUACUAGCUGCAUCUUUCCCAAAAUUGACAGUUAAGAAAGCAAAAACACUAGUAAGAAUGUUACAGCAUCUACAGUGUGUGUGUGUGCGCGCACACACACGUGUCUAUUCAAAUAAAAGGAAUUACUAGUUGCAUCUUCACAAGAUUUAAAGUUAAACAAGCAACAGCACAAGUAAGAACAUUACAGCAUCUACAGAGGCUUCUGCUGGGCCCUUGAAAUAGGUGAUGGAACCAUCAAUGAGCCUCCUGUAUCCUUGUUCUGGAGCAAUCAAAUGGGGCUGAUAGCCAUCGGCCUCAGUGACAACUUUCUGGACAUUUUUUAAUGAAAGAUGACGAUCAAAGGGGAGUUUCUUCAAUGCAGCUGGCAAUUGGUGGUCAAAAACUCCAUAUAUCCUAUCACCGCCAGGUCGCCUGAAGCAGCAACUUACCAUUUAUUUUUAUUUUUAUUUUGAAAGAAAAGACCCGAAGGUCAACCUCAAUUCAUUGCAUCAUUUAAAACAAUAUUAUGGAUUUCCAUCGGGUAAUCCAUAUCAAAAUUUUUAGUACAAUUAUUAAUAAGAGCCCAACUACAAAGCUGAUCAGCAGCUUUAUUACAACAGCGAGGAGCCCAAUUAAAAUUAAAACUAAAGCACGGGCCCAAAAAAUUAAGCAGAUCCCGAAUGCGGUGGCCCAUAGUUUAGGGGACAAAUCUAAAAUUAUACUACAGGGAAUGGCAUAGUUGACCACAUUCAUAGGAAACAUACUUUACAACUUUUAAGAAAAAAAUGUCACAAGACUUCCAGAAUUUCUAGUAAGUAUCAUCACUUUUAUAGUUUACUAUCUCUAGCAGAAGCAGAUACUUCACAUGCAAGCCAACCAGACAACACAGCCUAGUAUGUAUCCUAAUUUCCAGUACAACUAUAGCUGAGAUACUGAAUAGUAAGAGGACAGAACAGAAGCUUUAUAAGAUUAAAUAAUGUCACAAGACUUCCAGAAUUUCUAGUAAGUAUCAAUAUGUGAAUGUAAUUUAAGAAAGCAGGUGUUAUAACUUAAGAUUUUGAACUUAGAAAGUAGAAAUACUUAAUAAGAAUUAAGUGUGUAAGCUGACUAGUAAAUAAAUCAAACUGUGGUAUAGAAGUUUAAAUGCUGAAAAAAUUAUGCACUUUACCCUCCAUCCAGGUGCUCCUUGAAAACACGAUCAAAUGCACGGCAAAGUUCUAAAAUCAUGUACAACUGGGCCUGCACAUACAUUUAAUACAAUUGAAUGAACAGUUGAAGGAGUAACCCAUUCACAAAUAAAGAAAACUGAUUCCAAAAGACCUAAAAUUUUUACCCCUCCAUCAGCUGCAACUGGCCUGCCAAUGCGAUCCAACUCUGCGUUGAGCUCAUCAAUUGUCUUAUUAAUCAUAGAAAUGAUGCUUGGUAUGCGCUGCCUAAUAACAAGCUCUAAAUGCUGAAAUAGAGGAAAUUUAAAAAAAAAUAAAAAAUAAUUAGAACAAAUAUACAUACAAGGUCUCAUAGACAUUCAGUGAGAUGUUAAGCUUCUCUGAGAUAUCAAUAUUAAAAUUAACUGAAGCAACAAAAAUAGAAAGAUAAACAAGACCUGAGAUAAAAGUUUUGCAAGAUACUCCGAUCCCAUUUUGCUCGCCAAGUGUCCAUAAUCAGGGCUUGUUUCAAAAUAUUCACGCUCUUUUCGACGAGCAACAAUCAUAUCAACAUUCUUAUUGAUGUCAGCUUGAGAACGAUUCACAAUUCCAACCCAAGGAUGUUGUAGCCUAUAUGCCCUUCCUUCAAGAACCUGAAUCAAGUAAUCAUAAAGUUUGUGUCUUAUGGUUUUAAAAUCUACAUGGGAGCUUUUCUAACUGAUCUGCCGUCAUACAUAACGAUGAAUCAAUACCACACAUGAAAGAAAAAUAAGCAUCCAAAAGAAAUAAUUUGAAAUGGAGCCAUUAGGCAAUAAGCAUAUUUGAAAUAAACCAUGGACUUAAGAGGCAUUGUCAUGUAGGGUUCCAUUUCAACGAGGAUGAUUUUGUUUAAACUGCUAUCAAAAUAUAAUACUUUCAGCACUUAUUAUAGAAGCAUUCUAUGACUGAGACGCAAUGCAGUAAGUACAGUUAAAUACAUACUUCUGUAGCAUUUGUUCCCUUAUCCAUCAGAUCAAGUUUUGUUAGCACCCCAAAAGUUCUUUCACCUGAAUACACCAAAUAUAGUAAAAAUGUAAAUCUCCCUUGCUCACCAGUAAAAUUCCUAUUGCAUAACAAUGCUUCAGAAGAAAUAAGAAUAUAUGCAUAAAGCUAAUAUUUAGCAACCUGAUGGAUCCACUUCUCUUGCAAGUUUUAUGGCAUCUGAAGUAGCAAUGUCUUGAUUAGCAGGAGUAAUAGCCAAUAUGAUGCAAUUAGGCUACAAAAUUGAAAACAAACUCAGUGAGAAACAUAAAGAAUAUAUAUGACCUGCAACAUUAGGGCCAAAACAAAAUUGAGAUGUUACUUGUUGAAGACAUCAGAGACAAAACUAAAAUUAAUUGAUCUCAAGUUGAAGGCGUAAUAUGUCAUCAAAGCACAAUGUUGCUUGGUUUGUUGAUGUUAUUGUUUGUUGUUGUUUAUCUCUAGCUUUUGUUGCCCACUUUCUAAGCCCAUUUAUAUUAGUUGUUUGUAUCACACCAAAAUGUGGCGAAAGUGUUAGUUGUACCACAUUCAUUAAGUUUCAGAACUCUUGCAAUCUUACAUCCAGGUUGUGCCUCCCAAGUCCCUAGCUAUUGCUUAAUCAGUUUCAAGAUGGGUGCUUAACAUGGUAGCAAAGCUCAGGGGCAUUUUUUAUGUUGUUUCUCGUUUGUUGCCCAUCAGAUGUCGAUUUAUUGCAAUUGUAGUAUUGGUCCUAUACAUGAGAGGAAGUGUUAACUGGUAUUGUCCUCCAAUAGCAAACUAUCUACCUAUUCUCAGUUGGUUUUAGGUAGGAUGGGUAACAAGGUUGUUAUCAUCUUAAUGUCAAUUUUGAAGAACUAGAACUAGAUUAAGAAAUAUAAAGACACUUCAAACAAAAAUUAAAUUCUUUAAACAAAAUUGAAAAACCUUCCCAAAAAGAUUAUCUCUAAGUCAAACUUCUGAGUACAAUAAAUCAAGCUUAAUUAGAAAACAGCUCCUCUUAUACGAGAGAGACCAAAAUGGAGAAAAAUUUGUGGUGCGAAAACAUAGUAAUCCAAGAAUACCAAGCAUAAUAAUAGUCAUAUUCUCUAUAAGGAAGACUUAUUCAUAAAGUGGCAUCUUAUGAUGUGUGAAAGGAAGUUCAAAUAAUAUUGAAUAGAUAGUUGGAAUGUAAAUUUUGAGUGUUUCAUGAUUGCACCAUUGAAGACAGAAAUAUGACCCUGGACAAUUUAAUUAGAACUCAUGAUUGCACAUCUUAUUUUUAGUGCAGAUGCCUAGUCCAGUUUAAUAAUCAUAUAUUUUAUCAUUGUGCAACAGUUCCUAAUAACACAUAUCAUUUCAAUCUAUCCUAGAUUAAUGGUUAGAAAUUAAUUCCAUUUCCAUCUAUCUUUUUUUUGUGUGUUUAGACACAACCAUCUUUUCCUCUCAAACUGGGAUAUAUAUAUGAAAUAGUUUAUUUCUAGUUUCCUGAAUUUAUAGGCACUUACUUGAUUGAGUUCUAUUUUCCUUGGUUAUUGCAGGAAUACCUUACUCUGAGUCAUAUACAUUUUAGCAUCAAAAAUCAUAUAACAGCUAGCAAGGGUCAAGAAACUCACCUUUUCAACAUAAGAACGGACCAUAUUUUCAAUAUCUUCAACUAUACUAUCUGAC